GGCGGACGGGUGAGUAAUACAUCGGAACGUGCCCGAUCGUGGGGGAUAACGAAGCGAAAGCUUUGCUAAUACCGCAUACGAUCUACGGAUGAAAGCAGGGGACCGCAAGGCCUUGCGCGAACGGAGCGGCCGAUGGCAGAUUAGGUAGUUGGUGGGAUAAAAGCUUACCAAGCCGACGAUCUGUAGCUGGUCUGAGAGGACGACCAGCCACACUGGGACUGAGACACGGCCCAGACUCCUACGGGAGGCAGCAGUGGGGAAUUUUGGACAAUGGGCGAAAGCCUGAUCCAGCCAUGCCGCGUGCAGGAUGAAGGCCUUCGGGUUGUAAACUGCUUUUGUACGGAACGAAAAGACUCUGGUUAAUACCUGGGGGUCCAUGACGGUACCGUAAGAAUAAGCACCGGCUAACUACGUGCCAGCAGCCGCGGUAAUACGUAGGGUGCAAGCGUUAAUCGGAAUUACUGGG
RNAcentral lists this ribosomal RNA (466 nucleotides) under uncultured Acidovorax sp. Its description in RNAcentral is "bacterial SSU rRNA". It matches the Rfam family "Bacterial small subunit ribosomal RNA", at positions 97 to 558 of the family's 1533-position model. Lineage: Bacteria; Pseudomonadati; Pseudomonadota; Betaproteobacteria; Burkholderiales; Comamonadaceae. The record is from RNAcentral.